This 493-nucleotide ribosomal RNA is filed under the name uncultured bacterium. RNAcentral's name for it is "partial 16S ribosomal RNA". It matches the Rfam family "Bacterial small subunit ribosomal RNA", at positions 36 to 507 of the family's 1533-position model. The record is from RNAcentral.
UCCUCCCUCUUUCUUCGUGCUUAACACAUGCAAGUCGAACGGUGAAGGGACCGGUUUUUGCUGGUUCUGGAUGAGUGGCGAACGGGUGAGUAACACGUGAGUAACCUGCCCCCUUCUUCUGGAUAACCGCAUGAAAGUGUGGCUAAUACGGGAUAUUCUGCGCCUGCUGCAUGGUGGGUGUGGGAAAGAUAUUGUUUCGGUGUGGGAUGGGCUCGCGGCCUAUCAGCUUGUUGGUGGGGUGAUGGCCUACCAAGGCGGUGACGGGUAGCCGGCCUGAGAGGGUGGACGGUCACACUGGGACUGAGACACGGCCAAGACUACUACGGGAGGCAGCAGUGGGGAAUAUUGCACAAUGGGCGCAAGCCUGAUGCAGCGACGCCGCGUGAGGGAUGGAGGCCUUCGGGUUGUAAACCUCUUUCGCCAGUGAAGCAGGCCUGUCCCUUUUGUGGGUGGGUUGACGGUAGCUGGAUAAGAAGCGCCGGCUAACUACGUG